This 267-nucleotide ribosomal RNA is filed under the name Pseudosperma cf. rimosum EL-2010e. RNAcentral describes it as "partial large subunit ribosomal RNA". It matches the Rfam family "Eukaryotic large subunit ribosomal RNA", at positions 419 to 675 of the family's 3401-position model. Lineage: Eukaryota; Fungi; Basidiomycota; Agaricomycetes; Agaricales; Inocybaceae. The record is from RNAcentral.
ACGCUUGAAGUCAGUCACGUUGACUUGAAAUCAGCUCUGCUUUUGCUGGGUGUACUUUCUUGUCAAUGGGUCAGCAUCAAUUUUGACCAUCGGAUAAAGUUGUUGGGAAUGUAGCAUCUUUUGGAUGUGUUAUAGCCCGGCGAUGCAUACGGUGGUUGGGAUUGAGGAAUUCAGCACGCCACCAGGCCGGGUUCCGACCACGUUCGUGCUUAGGAUGCUGGCAUAAUGGCUUUAAUUGACCCGUCUUGAAACACGGACCAAGGAGUC